CAGCGCCACGAGUGGUAACCACGUUUAUUGGGCCUAAAGCGUCCGUAGCCGGUUUGAUAAAUCUUUUGUGAAAUUGUACAGCUUAACUGUACAGCGUGCAAGAGACACUGUCAAACUUGAGACCGGGAGGAGUCAGAAGUAUUCCAGAGGGAGCGGUAAAAUGUUAUAAUCUCUGGAGGACUACCUGUGGCGAAGGCGUCUGACCAGAACGGAUCUGACGGUGAGGGACGAAAGCCGGGGGAGCGAACCGGAUUAGAUACCCGAGUAGUCC
This 271-nucleotide ribosomal RNA is filed under the name uncultured archaeon. Its description in RNAcentral is "partial 16S ribosomal RNA". It matches the Rfam family "Archaeal small subunit ribosomal RNA", at positions 477 to 747 of the family's 1478-position model. The record is from RNAcentral.